AUUGCUUAGUAACGGCGAGUGAAGCGGCAAAAGCUCAAAUUUGAAAUCUGGUACCUUUGGUGCCCGAGUUGUAAUUUGUAGAAGGUAACUUUGGGGCUGGUCCUUGUCUAUGUUCCUUGGAACAGGACGUCAUAGAGGGUGAGAAUCCCGUGUGGCGAGGAUCCCAGUUCUUUGUAAAGUGCUUUCGAAGAGUCGAGUUGUUUGGGAAUGCAGCUCUAAGUGGGUGGUAAAUUCCAUCUAAAGCUAAAUAUUGGCGAGAGACCGAUAGCGAACAAGUACAGUGAUGGAAAGAUGAAAAGAACUUUGAAAAGAGAGUGAAAAAGUACGUGAAAUUGUUGAAAGGGAAGGGCAUUUGAUCAGACAUGGUGUUUUGCGCCCUCUGCUCCUUGUGGGUGGGGGAAUCUCGCAGCUCACUGGGCCAGCAUCGGUUUUGGCGGCAGGAUAAAUCUGCAGGAAUGUAACUUGCCUCGGUAAGUAUUAUAGCCUGUAGGAAUACUGCCAGCUGGGACUGAGGACUGCGACUUUACGUCAAGGAUGCUGGCAUAAUGUAUAUCCGUG
RNAcentral lists this ribosomal RNA (558 nucleotides) under Torulaspora microellipsoides. RNAcentral's name for it is "LSU rRNA". It matches the Rfam family "Eukaryotic large subunit ribosomal RNA", at positions 73 to 646 of the family's 3401-position model. Lineage: Eukaryota; Fungi; Ascomycota; Saccharomycetes; Saccharomycetales; Saccharomycetaceae. The record is from RNAcentral.